Gallus gallus (chicken) is the source of this 9605-nucleotide long non-coding RNA. Lineage: Eukaryota; Metazoa; Chordata; Aves; Galliformes; Phasianidae. The record is from Ensembl.
AAGUGUGAAUUCACGUCAUUAAAAUCUGCUGAUGAUUUUCGGUGGAGAAGAAUCAAACCUAUUGGCCUUCAUCUUACAGUGCUCGUGAAGUUUGCUCAGAGACUCAAAAUCCCGUAGGCCACAUGGGGACCAUAAGAUAAGGAACACACAAUCACGUAGGAGAAGUCUGAUUUAAGGGACCCCUGUGACUAAACACUGACAGUAUAACACAGGAACUCUAGCAGAUGUGAGACUAAAACUUAACUCUUCGAGGCAUCUCGUGCAAGAUUUUAAACCACAGCAAGUGACCAGCAUGCAGAUGGCAGUAACAGACCAUUGCCACGUGACUGGGGCUGAUGGAGCUCAAGGAAGAUGCUGGGGACCUUUCGUUUGACUCAUGUUCAUCCUCUGCGCUGUAUGAUGCCAGAAGCUCAGCUUUUCUAGAAGAGAGUAAAGGAUGAGGAGUUAUGCUGACAUUUGGAAAAGGGCUAGGAAGUUGACCUGUGUUCAACAUAUCUGCCAUAAAUGAAUGCUCACCAUGAAGUAGUGCACCCACUGCAAGCAAUGCAGUGAAGUGUUCCAGGGCCAAGAGAGUUCCGUCAUGAAUUUAAGGAAAGGAAUUACUUCAUCCAAAAAGGUCUGGACACCUUGAAACAUUCUGGUAUCUCUAAGGAGGAGAUGAUGCACCUUAGGGCUGCCUUGACCUUGCCUGGGGCUUGAUGAUCCUUGAGGUCCCUUCCAACCCAAGCCAUUCUAUAAUUCUAUAGGGCACUUUCACAUUCAGCAACACCAGUAGGAUGCUUGUUCUCAGACGGAGCAAGUAACCUAUGUAUUGACUUGGAAAUUGAGGUGAGUGUUCCUCCACUUUAAGAAUAGUCAGGAUUAGCAAGUGGUGUGAAGGUAUAAAGUUGUUUGUUUGUUUAAAUGACAGCAUAAGGAAUAUCUACCUGAGCCAUUGUAAUUCAGUGUUUCAUUAGCAUGAGAUGCAAGUCUAUUGAGACUUUACUAUUCCAAGUCCAUAAGAAAAUGGGACAAGGCUCCUAAUUCUUAAUGCAGCAAAACACUUAGAAUGAAGGAGAUUUGAAUCCAGGUUUAAAUCUAAACUAAAUCUUGCUGCUUAAGAGGAUUGAAGUUCAGCGUUUGUUGAGUUGAAGCCCAGAAACAAUAAAGCAAUAAAGCAUCUCUUCAACUUUUUUUUUUAAAUUUAAAUUUUGUUCUUCUAAAAUUCCCUGUUCAAAUCUGUGUAACCACCAUCCACAUUCAUUAUGGGAGAAGUGAUGGUAGUUCAGUAGCCAUAGUGCAUCCUCAGCCCCCUGAAUCACACGCUGAACUGAAAUGCUGAAAUAAGCAACAGUAUGGCUUACCCUUUCCUAACCUCUGACUGUAUCGGAAGGAUGAUAAUAUUGCUUAAACCUAAUGUAUAAGAAAGAAAUGGUUUCAUUGUUAUCUGAUGGAGACCCCAUAACAAUGCCACAGUGACAGAGGCUAUAAUGAGGAACUGUAGGAUUUCAAUGGCAAAAGGGAUUCAUUGCUAGUUCAUGACCUCAUGAAGAAAUCAUUACAAUGCCAUCAGAGAUAUGAAGUCGUUAUGGGAAAACUAUUUCAAAGCAAGUCUAGAAGGACCUGUUUGAAGGUGCUGUUAAGAAGUCAUUACAGUGUAAGGUUAUGAUGGCAAAAUGGUUUCAGUGAAACUCUGUUAUAGUCUAAAAAUAAAUUAAAUGGUGUCAGUGAAAAUUAUUCCCCUUCAAAACCUACAGAAAUUAAACAGACCUCUCUCUAAACCAAAACAAUGGUAAAUUAGAAGUUUGACUGACACUUGAUCAGAAGGAGAGUAUGAGGGCUGUUCCAAAAGUAAUGCCUCCUAUGUUACUAUGUUGGCCCACAAUUUCAGAGACAGAUGUCAGUGAUAUGACAGUAGAAGCUGAACCUUCUGACAGUAUUCCAUUACAUUUUGUUGUUGUGUGAUAGAUGGCAGUAGAGGGGCAGACUGACAAAAUAGCAUCUGACAUGGGAGUGCAUAUGAAGCAAAGGUGCGGAAUUGAAUUCCUGCCUGCAGACACAUAGCACCCAUUGACAUUCACUGACCCUGAGGAGAAGAAUUUGGGAGUGUCAGUUGAUGAAAGACUCAACAUAAGCUGGCAGUGUGCAUUUGUAGCCCAGAAGGCCAACCAUAUCCUGGGUUUCAUCAACAGAAAUGUGACCAGCAGGUUGAGUGGUUCUACUCCUCUACUCUGAUCCUGUGUGACCCCACCUGGAGUAAUGUGUCCAGAUCUGGGGCCCCCAGCACAGGAAGGACAUGGAGUUGUUCGAGCUGGUCCACAGGAGGGCCACAAAGAUGAUCAGAGGGCUGGAACAUCUCCCCUGUGCCGGCAGGCUGAGGAAGCUGGGAUUCUUCAGCCUGGACAAGAGAGGGCUCCAGGGGGGACCUUAUAGCAGCCUUCCAGUACCUGAAGGGGGCCUAUAGGGAAGCUGGGGAAGGACUUUUUAUAAGGAUAUGUAGUGACAGGACAAGGGGAAAUGGUUUUAAACUGGAAGAGGGUAGAUUUGCACUAGAUAUUAGAAAGAAAUUCUUUACUGUGAGUGUGGUGAGACACUGGAACAGGUUGCCCAAUGACACUGUGGAUGCCCCCUUCCUGAAAGCACUCAAGACCGGGCUGGAUGGGGCUUUGAGCAACCUGGUCUAGAGGGAGGUGUCCCUGCAUAUAGCAGGGGGGUUGGAACCAGAUGACCAUAAAGGUCCUUUCCAGCCCGAACCAUUCUGUUAUUCUAUGACCCUUGCUGAAAAUUUAUGGAGACCAGACAGUGGAUGUGAGCACAGUGACGUAGUGGGUGGUGAAUUUCAGCAGUGCUGACAGCAACAGUGGGUCACCUCCACUGGUGCAGAUUUUUACGACUGUAGCAUACAGACUUUUGUUCAUCACUAGCAAAAAUGCAUAGCUAAUGCUGUUGUCUAUGUUGAAAAAUAGUGUUCAGUAGCUGAGAAUUUGCUUUAUCAGAUACUGUUAUUGUGCUCUUUGGAUGUGUUAUCGUUUCCAUUGAAAUAAAUAGGAGGCAUUACUUUUGGAGUGACAUACAGAAUUAUGAAUUCUUAAAGCAAUCAAAUAAAAUUUUGGCUGGAGUUACCCAGCUGGAAAAUAAUGUCACUGAGUUUCUAGGAUCUUAAUUUUGUAAAUUAAAAUGAAAUAUCAUCCUCACAUCAAAGUUUAUAGUAAAUAUCAUUCUUCUGUAUCUUCCUUGUUGUAUUGCAAAUUAGUCUAUGAGCACUUUUUGUUUUUCUUAUUGCAUUUCUGACUUGCAUUUGUUCUGAUAGGGCAUAGAUCUAAAAUAAAUUAAAAUUCCACUGCCACUCCUAGCCUAGAAUUUUGAGUGACAGUUGAGACUGUCUGUCAAACUAAAUAGUCUAUUUCAAAACAGUAAAAAUCUCCCCACCCAAGACUCACUUCUCAUCAGUAAUGUGGUUAGUAUUUAUCUGGUUUAAAAUCCAGCCUGAUCUGAUCAUCUACUCUAUCAUUGGUGCUGGAUGGGAAUAAAAUGUACAUUUAGGAGUUGUUUUGGAUGAUUGUACCCCACUACCGAAUAAUUAGAAUAAUAUUUUCACUAAAAGGAAUGUAUUCCUGAAGUACCUCUGAGAUACCAAAAAAAAAUCCAAAUUUUCUUCUUGUGUUUUUUUAUUUUCAGUGAAUAGCUGCCUAUCUGCUGUCCAAAAGCUCAGCUAGAUCUGGUGCAAUACCGUAGACUUUAACUUGGGGCUGCAUGAAUAUUGUGUCAUUUGGGUGCUCACUGCAACUUGGAAGAGAAGAGGAUAUCCAGCACCAUGAGGACAGAAAGUUUCCUAAGGCCAAGAAAACCUUAUUGAAAUGAAAGAUUUCAGCAAAAUAUUCCAGAUUUGACAACUUGGUAACGUCCCUUUCAAAUGAACAUGGAAGAACAUGCAGAUGAAGUCAAAUCUCCGUUGACUGGUUUGUGACCAAUGGGACAGACUUUCCAGGAAUCCUUUCACCUGCCAGCUGCAGGAACUAUUUCCCACGUGAUACUGAAAUUCAUACAGUAAGAUGAGUGCCUGUUCUUUGCUUGAAAGUCAGAACAUUGUAAUUGUUUUGAAGAUUAAUUUGUUCCAUUCCAAUCAUCAUUACUUUCCUAUCUAUUUCUUUGUUGAUUAUUUAGUGGAAUAUUUUCUUGAUACUCAGUCUGACCACUGCAGUUUGAUUAAUGUUUUUACGAAAAGUAGGAUAAAUAUAAGUAGAGAUUUCUUUAAAAGGAAUACGGUUGAGUAGAGUGGAGAGAGAAAGAUUUUAUAUAGUGCAAGAAAUUGAUAACAAAAUUGACUACAGGAAAUACUGAUCUCUCUACGUUGUGGGUCAGUUCUUAAAACAUUUGGUGCAAUUUAUUGCAGUUUAUAGCAAUUGCUGUUCUCAUGCUAAGCAUCAUUGGCAUAGGUGAUUAUCUGAUGGAACUUCAGAGUUUCUGGAUUUCCAAAGUCUUGACUCUAGUAUUUUUUUUCAUAAUUAUUGUUUCAAAGAAACAGCUUCAAGGAGCAGGGUCUCUCUGUCUCUAUCUAAAAGAUGGCCUGGGUAUGCUUUCCUUUGUGUCCUGUAUUCCCACUAGAUUCGUUGAUCUUUCCUUGGUUGACCACAGAGAUCUUCUAGUUCCAACAUGUGAGUUUCUAUACGGACCUACAGAGGGAUGGGGAACAUCCCCACCCUAUCCUGCCAUACAUGGUCAGGAUAAAGAACUGUAUUAACAGUUAGUAGGCAUGUUGAGUUACAGCAGUUGAAGACAUACUUUAGCCAUAUAUGUAGAAAGUUUAAAGCAUCACACAUUCUCUUCUCACUAUAGCUUUGCUUUAAUGUUAACAAAUGCAUCAUUUAAUUGAUAAUAGCUGGUGUUCAAAGCUACCAUUCAGGGCUUAUCUGCACUUUAUUAUUACUGUUUUUUUCUGUUUUCACUCCUCAAGUAGCAACUGCCAGGUGGAAAUGUAAAAGUAAAUAAAAUAAUAGAUUGUACCUGCAAAUACAUGUGGAGCAUGUUUACAAAUAUGGAAAUGACUGCUGGACUGCUGGCAGUUGGUUAAUGAAAAGUCAAACUCUUUGGUAAACACAAGUAUUUACCAUUUUGAAAAAGCAUUGUAAGUUUGGAGGAAGGAGCACCUUUGUGUUAGUAUUAUCUGUAGCUUUUGGGAAGAAAAAUAAGAUACACAGUGUUGUUUACAUUUUGUUUCAGUCACACAGUGAUCAGACAUGAGUCAAACCCUUUUAAACAUAUUUUCCUGACUACAAUGUACUGUUUCAAAGGGUUGAAGAUAUUAAAUAUAUCUUAUAUAUAUAUAUAUAUAUAAUAUAUAUAUUAAAGAUAUUUCAUGAAGUUCUUAUUUCAUGGCACAGUUACAAGUAGAUAUUUCCUUCUUCAUUUUCAUAAUGUCCUUCCUCUUCUCACUGAAUUAAAAUGGUGCCCUCUAGAAAAACAGGGAAGAAAAUAUCUUGCUGUAGAAAUGGGCUAUGCACAAGCACUUAGACAAAAUCUGUCACAUAGAAAAUACAGGAUCCACAGCAACAAAUCAUGUCCAGAAGAAAUUGGUAUAAAUAAAAUAGAUAAAUUUAUUUAUAAAAUUAGGGAAUAGGGAAGAUAAAAUUAGGGAAACAUUUGCAAGGGUAGCCUACCAGAGACAAGGAGGUGUAAAUGAAUAGAGUUCUUUUAAACUUUUCCCUAGUAGUGCUAUUAUUGUUAUUACUAUUACUAUGACUACUAGUACUAAUACUACUAUUACUACUACUACUACUAAGUUCUAUCCUGGAGUGCUUAUGCCUUGAAGUAUAACAGUUCUAUCCUGGAGUGCUUAUGCCUUGAAGUAUAAUAACUCUUCAGAAAAAGAUAGAGAACAAUCUAGAUUUUAGCAAUACUUUCAUGUAGUUUUAAAGUUGUUGCUUAUGUUCGUAGUGGCAGAAAUCUGCAGACUCUGAGGGAAAGUGUCAGCAAGAGUUUGCGAGAACAUAGGUAUAUGUCUGGGUAGUAUGGAAUGUGAAGUCAUGCAAUAGGUUUUCAGAACUGUCACUGCCCAGAAGAUCCACAUGCAUGUGUACUAGGGGCUGAAAUCUAUUGCAUCAACAAGGGCAAAAUUACAAAGAACCAUAACAAAAAGUUUUAGAUAGUAGUUUUUUUAAUAGAAAGAAAUUAUGUAGGUAUUUAUAUGAGGAAAAGCUGCUAAUGUUCUGCUUGGGCUGACAGGGAUAAUAAGGGUGGUAACAGUUCUAAGCACCAUUCAUAGAUUGGGGUUGAGUCUCGCUAGGAAGUGAAGGAGUAAUGUAACUUGGGCAGACCCAUAGGAAAGAAGAACAAAAAUCUUAACAGAGACAGGGAACCAGAGAGAAGGGAAUGUACACGAACAAAGCAAAAACUCCAGGUUAAAACAGCUAGGUGUCGGAAUUAGCAGUAUCCAUGAGAGUGAGAAGUAUCUAUGGGAAAAUGUGAAAGAAGAUGAAGGGCAAAAGAGGGAACAGAAUGCAGAAGUGGGCUGUGAAUCAGCAGCACAGAAUGACCAGAGCAAUAUGUGAGAAGGGAUAAAAUAGUAGAAAUUAGUGGUUUGAUGUAAGGAACACUUUCAGCAGAAUGGGGCCAAUGGACUAGAAGAUGCUUAUAAUGGCUAAAUCAUAGGUUUUGCAGAGUACUAUUACAGCAUUUUGACAGUGCUCAAUACAGACAAAACUGAACUUUCUUUGCUUUCUAAAUUGCAGGUAAUGCCAUUAAUUAAAAGUCUUUUUUUAUAGAAAGGGGCUAAGAUGCUUAUAUGUUCCUUUCAAACAACCAUCUUCUCCCAAAUCUGAAUCUCUUUCUCUGUAAUUUUAGCCUGAAAUGAUAAAGAUUUGAAUAUUUAUUUAUUUAUGAAAACAUAUCUGUGAUUUUUAUCUUGUCUGUUCACCUUGUUUUCUGUAUCUUAUUAUUUCUGUAUAACUUUUGACGCUGUUAUUCUUCCAUCAAGUGCAAAUGCACUUCAUCCUCAGAAGAACUGUAGAUUAGACAAAUAAUUUUCUCUAUGAAAAAGCAGAAUUGAAGAUGCAAAAUUAAGUUUCGUUAAAAGUUCAUGUACAGAGUGAGUUCUUGAUUUCUAAACACUGAAAGUGGAUAUUUCAUAUGGAAUUCAGCGAAUAGUUUCUCUUCAGUUCUUUUAAGCAUAUAAUGAUUCUUGUGUUGCAUAAGUGUUGGAAUUAUUGGCUCCCCUGCCAUGCCUUAGCUGAUGUCCUGUGGUUCACCUGGCUUGAUUCAUGCUAGCAAUCUCCAAAUCCAACAACAGUGCCCAAGUUUCAAGCAAAACAGGUAAUAUUUUUUUUCUAGUUAGCGCACUUUGCUUGUCUAUUAUGGGGAAAAAAAAAACAAAAACAAACAAACAAAAAACCUAAACCAUAAUGAAAAAGAAAAACAGUUCUGUACACUGCUAGGCUAGAAAUACUAUGAGAAGCUGUUGAUGUAUGGGGCAAGAACUGUCAAAUCAGAAGGCACAUCCCCUUAGUGAGUCAUGGAGAUUUGUUGAUUAAAAAAACAUUUAAGUACAUGUUAAUGAAAUGUUUUGUUUCACUGUGAGCCUUUUAUUAUACCAAACCACUAGAAGUUUUCUGCACUUUUCUGAAGUCCUGCAGUAAAAUAUGAAGUGUUGGGAGCAACUUCUUGAAGAUGCAUUCUCUACUUAACCCAGUUCUGCUUGAGAAUCUAAAAAAGAAUCUAAUCUGUAUGAAUGUUAUCUGAGAGAAGUGAAAAAAAAACCAACCACAUUCCUCUUUCAAACUGUUUUGAUGUACUUCUAUCACAUCAUUCCUUCCUCAUCUCUCUUACAAGCUGAAGUAUCUUAUUUAAAAUGUCCUCAGAUGAAGGAAUUCCUAUUGGUAAUCUUUCUAUUACCCUACACUCUUCCUUUACAGGUUCCAUCAUACCUUUUUGGCGAUGAAAAGUACUGGAUGUAGUGUUCUAAAUGUCUGCCCACCAUGCAUUUAACACGGAAAGUGACCCAGAGCAGAGGGAUAAAAUAACCUUUGUAUCCUCUUGUACCUGAACAGCAUGAGCUGGUCUGGGGAACGGUCAGCUCUGCCCUUCAGACUUCAAUUGCAUCCGGCCAUGUAUGCUAUGCAGGUUUCUUGUUCACUGGGUGAUCUUGAAGUGGCCUUGCUAAAAGCUCUCUCUGCCAUUUCCAAAGGAGAUAAAUCUACCUAGAGCCCUGGGAAGCAGAAUUGCUCUUCUUUUUGAAGUGAAGGACCAGUGGUGAACUGGCAAUGAUCAUGACAGUGCCCCUCAUUACUCCAGCCCUCAGCACAUGAUCCCAGGCGACAUGCACUCUAUGCUCUGCUGAGGAAGAUCACAGCGAUCUUGAUAUGAUGGCACAGGACAAGAAUACAUAGACUUGGCUGGAUCAAAAGCAAUGUGCUGAGACUCUACAUCAUCUUGGUGCUUCAGGAGACUAAUUUCUGGACUAAACAGUCUUUGAAAUGAUUCCACAUCACGAGCUUCCGUCCCCACCUUAGUCAAGUCCUGUGAUCACCAAGGCAGACAAAGACAAGCACAGAAAACUGAGGACAAAUCAGGAGCUUCACAGACUGUUUUUAAUUGGGAGGAAACAAAAGAAAAAAUAUCACAAUUUGUACAAGAUGGUGAGAUGGACUCAUUUUAUGAGUAAUAAAAUAAACUUUGGUUCUCAUUUAUUCUAAUUGUCCUGAAAGAUCUUCUAGAGGCAAACAUGAGAGACACAAGACAAAUUACAAAAUUUUCAUCCCUAUCACACAAUUUGUCAUGUUACAGAUAUCAGCAAAGAACUAACUUGACUCUGCCUUUAACGCAGGUCAUCUUCUAGAAGUCAUCUUAUUAUGCUACAGUUUUUAAGUUGGGCUGCCCAAAUAGUCUCAAUAUUUUACUGGUAUUGAAGGAAAAAAAUCUCAUGCUAAAUAUAGUGGAAACAAAGCAAAGAAAUAGAGAAUAAUAAUAAAAAAAAUACCACCAGUCCCAAAGAGUCACUGAUUUUAUACUGAUUGCAUCUAGACUGACUUUUAAUGGUCUGAGUCCAGGAUUCCAUUAGUGUUUAAUAAAUGAUGGUAAUGAUAUCCUACCUAAACAAUGCACACAGAGCUCCCAUUGACUUCAACAUGAGUUCUCGGUGCAGACUGAUGGCAGGAUAUUCCUGUGACAGAGAUGAAUUUUCCAUUAGAACAAAAUGAGGAAGACCUGUCUCAGUCAGCAGAAUUCACAGCAACAAGAAAUAUUCCUUGGGGGCUCAGUGAAAGAUGGCCAUCCUGAGUGGUGGAAAGUAAAUUGGGUGGGAAACUGUGAGGCAUACUUGGACAGUUGUAAAACCAAUUAAAACCAUCAUGCAGUUAUAUUGAUGUUUAAUUUGUAUCAUCUGGAAACCACAACUUCCUUUCUCAUCACACCAUGGGGGAAAUUGCUGUUCUUUUUUAUAUGAAGGCAAAGAGUGCAUUUAAUAUUGGGAUAGAAGAGAGAGUGUGUACGUCUAGUACUAUGUCUUGAUUACCAACUUUCACUCAGAAUAGGGAAAGGAAAAAUGAAAUGCUGUUAGUUAUAAACAAUGGAGAACCAUUACCCAUACAGAAAUUUGGGCAACGACACAAAGAAUUCAGCUGAACGUUUUCCUU